UAAGACAGAAAUAUUUUUAAAAAUUUCUUUACUGAAAAUAUAGAAUAUUUUUUAAUAAAAAAAUUCUUAAAAAUAUUUUAAAAUUU
This 86-nucleotide microRNA precursor is filed under the name Cajanus cajan (pigeon pea). RNAcentral's name for it is "miRNA gene-KK1_047347". The record is from RNAcentral. Lineage: Eukaryota; Viridiplantae; Streptophyta; Magnoliopsida; Fabales; Fabaceae.